ACUCCUACGGGAGGCAGCAGUGAGGAAUAUUGGUCAAUGGAGGGAACUCUGAACCAGCCAUCCCGCGUGUAGGAAGACGGCCUUAUGGGUUGUAAACUACUUUUAUACAGGAAGAAACGUACCCUCGUGAGGGUGCCUGACGGUACUGUAGGAAUAAGCACCGGCUAACUCCGUGCCAGCAGCCGCGGUAAUACGGAGGGUGCGAGCGUUAUCCGGAUUUAUUGGGUUUAAAGGGUCCGUAGGCGGAUUAAUAAGUCAGUGGUGAAAUCCCAUCGCUUAACGAUGGAACUGCCAUUGAUACUGUUAGUCUUGAAUGAGGGUGCAGUGGUUGGAAUGUGUAGUGUAGCGGUGAAAUGCAUAGAUAUUACACAGAACACCGAUUGCGAAGGCAGAUCACUAACCCUAAAUUGACGCUGAGGGACGAAAGCGUGGGGAGCGAACAGGAUUAGAUACCCUGGUAGACUCUGC
This 468-nucleotide ribosomal RNA is filed under the name uncultured bacterium. RNAcentral's name for it is "bacterial SSU rRNA". It matches the Rfam family "Bacterial small subunit ribosomal RNA", at positions 335 to 800 of the family's 1533-position model. The record is from RNAcentral.